RNAcentral lists this ribosomal RNA (465 nucleotides) under uncultured bacterium. Its description in RNAcentral is "partial 16S ribosomal RNA". It matches the Rfam family "Bacterial small subunit ribosomal RNA", at positions 28 to 507 of the family's 1533-position model. The record is from RNAcentral.
GACGAACGCUGGCGGCGUGCUUAACACAUGCAAGUCGAACGGAAAGGCCCUGCUUGCCGGGUACUCGAGUGGCGAACGGGUGAGUAACACGCGCGUGAUCUGCCCUGCACUUCGGGAUAAGCCUGGACAACUGGGUCUAAUACCGGCUAGGAGCCAUUUUUAGUGUGAUGGUUGGAAAGUUUUUUCGGUGUAGGAUGAGCUCGCGGCCUAUCGGCUUGUUGGUGGGGUAAUGGCCUACCAAGGCGGCGACGGGUAGUCGGCCUGAGGGGGUGGACGGCCACAUUGGGACUGAGAUGCGGCCCAGACUCCUACGGGAGGCAGCAGUGGGGAAUAUUGCACGAGGGGCGCAAGCCUGAUGCAGAGACGCCGCGUGGGGGAUGACGGCCUUCGGGUUGUAGACGCAUUUCGCUAGGGACGAAGCUUUUUGUGACGGUACCUAGAUAAGAAGCACCGGCUAACUACGUG